This 1343-nucleotide long non-coding RNA is filed under the name Olea europaea subsp. europaea. The record is from RNAcentral. Lineage: Eukaryota; Viridiplantae; Streptophyta; Magnoliopsida; Lamiales; Oleaceae.
UUCCAUGGUAACAUUCACUGCUCUUGCUGACUUCUUGGAUUGUACAAAGGCCAAUAAAGACAAGGGGAAGUUUUCUCAUAAGCUAAUCAAAUACAACACUUUGAACAGGAAACAAAUUCAGUUUGAUUAGAACAUCAAAUGCAAUACUAGCAGUGAGUUCUAAUCUAGAAGAAACCAAAGUAUGAAAAAAGUUCUCAUGUUGUUACAUGUCAAUUAGAUGAUGUUACACAAGAUGACUACUAACGGGAUGUUAUGUAUUAUAGAAGAAUUCUACAUUAGCCAUAGAAGCAUUUGUUUUCAAAUGCUUUGAUCACCAUCUUUUAAUCAAGCUGGUCACUUCCCUUUUGCAUUCGCUUCAGCGGUUCUUUUUUCCAUUCGGAUGCUCACGUUCAUCGAAAUCUAGAGCUCUUCAUCACUUAUCUGAAACCUAGAUUAGGACAUGCGGAACACUUCUUCACCUAUGUCGUUCAUCACAAUGUUAAAGACGGUAGCGCUGUUGCGACCAGAUUCACCUCUUGUUUCUUCUUUUACAACCAGUUCCCAAAAUCCACAAUUUUGACUACAACAAGCGAAUAAUUUCCCUUUAUUAUCGUUAUCCUUUUCCACCACAACGCAUUUCUCAAUUUCAUGCUUACAUCAGGUGUAAGGGCGUUUCAUUUUGCAAUCGAAAUCUUUUUUUUUUUUUUAUCUUUAGCCCUAUAACCAUGACAAAUUUCAGAGUUCUUCCGAGCAUUCUACGACGGAAAUAAAACACCAACAACAAAUAUGUAGUCAGUUAUUUAUCAAUACAAUACGAUACAUAAAUUAGAAUUAAUGCCAAUACCGAAGCCAAAUAAGCUAUGCAGAACUAAUUUUUAAAAAUCAAGUUUAUUAAAUCACAAUUACGCUCAGUUAAAAAAAUGCUUUCAAUCUUAUUUGUAAGGGCACACUCAAAGCGAAAAAUCCACCUGAGAACAAGUCGAUAGGUUUGAUGGGUGCAACUUGCUUGCGAUGUCCGAUUGUUUGAAUUGUGGGUUGUGCCACGGUGAAACCUUUGGCAAAAGUGCGUUAUGGCAAUCAGAGAAGGAGCGUUUAGAUUUUGGGCUUUCAAUUUUUCAGAUUUCAAUUGUGGGAUAGGGAAGUUUUUGUUCUAUGGAUGUUCGCCCCUUUUUUGACAGCGAUCGGAGAUGGUUGGUCGUGCAACAACGACACCGUCGACGAAAAUGCGACGCGACGACACCGGAGAUGUAGGGUUGGAUAUUGAGGCUUUUUGCGGUUUCCGGAGAGAAGGUUGUGGGAGAGUGAUGUGUGUUGUUCGUCUUUUAAAUUCUUUCAAAUGUCCCUUUGUUUAAUUUGCAAAUGCC